GUGGAUUCCAGAAUCCUUGCUGCUAGUGCAGCGGCUGCUAGUGCAGCAUACAAGCUCGAUAGUUCUUGGCCGCGGGUGCAUGUGGCAUGUUCCUCUCCCACCGGAAGAACUUCGAGGCUUGUUAUUGAGCAAGAAUCAUGAGCGCUAAGGUGCAUGUGCCAUGUUCCUCUCCCUAUCGGGGAUCUCGGCUCCGGGUGUAUGCGGCAUGUUCCUCUCCCACCGGGGGAUCCCUGACCACGGGUGUACGCAGCUCUGGGCGACCCGUUGGGCGAUGUGGUUUGUGGAUUGAUGGCUGAGGUGCAUGUGAUUGUUCCUUCACCUCGAGCCUGACAAAGCGCGGAUUAUCCGCAUAUGAUUGACUCAAGACCGAGUCGAGUGGCAUAGCUGGCUAAUGUAAAGUAACCUUAGGUAAGAGUGGUAAUGUGUAUAAUAUGGCUAAGGUGUGAGUACCCUUAGAAUAAAGAAUAAAGAAUAAAGAAGGGCUAAUGCUAAAGAUUGGCAAGUAAUAAAGAAUAAAGAAAGGCAAAUGUUAAAGAAUAGCUAGUAAAGUAAAGAAUGGCUAAGAGUAAAGAAUGGAUAAGAAUAAAGCGUAGAAGCAAUUAAUCUACUUAUGUGAAUUGCAUAAUGUGCAUGAUGCAUGUUGUGAGGCAAAAUGAUGGUAACGUUAGUUGCAUGAUUUAUGAUUUUAUAUCUAUCUAUUGGACUAACAUAUUGUUUGCCUCCUUUGGACCUGAUGGUCAAGCUCUUCCCUUAGGUGGUCGUACCCACUGGGAACCAUGGAGUUGGUUCUCACCCCACGUUGUUUUGGGGUGUUACAGGUUCGCACGUGAGUGGCGCGGCGGCGCGAGGCAAGGGCAUAGCUCCGUAGUUAGCGCCCUACCACCGAGACCAGAUAGUGGUACCCCGAGUCGGCAUAGCCUAGGGGUAGAGGAAAAUAAAAGAACAAGAUGUAUCAAACUUGUAAUAAAUUUGUAAUAAUUAGGUUGUAUUUGGAAGUUGAAUGUAAAAGAAUGUAAUUCGUAAUGUAAAAUAUAAUAUGUGAGAUGAAUGCUUAUAAUAGCAAGUAGAUUUAUGUUUUUGAUACUUCCUUAUGCAAUCUUUGGUUGAAAUGUGUUUCUUGUUGGAACUUCGUACAUUGUAUUGAUUGCGACGCCUUGAACGUACAGGGGAGACUCUGUCCGCGGUUCAAGGGAAACCCUGUCCGUUCGGCGGUCUGUUGGCGUGCCCAAAACCAACCAAAGAGGCGGGCUCGGGGCGGGACAGAUAAGAUGGUAUCAGAGCAUAAAAAGAACAUAAAAGAGUAUAAAGAUAAUGGUUUAGCUUGACCUAGGAGACUCUAGGAUAGUAAACUAUACGAGAUUAAGGCUCGUGAGAGACGAAGACUUGUGACUUGUGGCGAAAGGAUAAUGGAUUGGGUUAUGUGGUAAACCUCUAUAAUGGAUGUUAGAGGUAGAUCCAAGGUGUGGUUUAUUCUCAGCCAAGUGUGUUCAUGUUGGGCGUAGGACAACAUAAAAUCGAGUGAUGAGAAUAGACGCCCUUGUAUGACUUUCGCCCGAUUUGAGUCAAUGUUAAAUGUUUCGUACUCGACCUCGAAGAUUGAGAAUUAAUCGAGUUGUCAUGUUUCAGGGAACGAUGGCACCGCAUAGGCGAUCUUUGGCUAGAUCGACGCGGGAUAGGACAAGUGAUGUCCCUGAGCAAUCCAGAGCGAGAGGAGACUCGGAGCUCCGCAAACAGUUGGGAGUGCUUGUGGGCAUAGUGCAGCAUCAGCAGGAGGCUGCCAUGCGCCAGGAAGAACGAAUCAAGAGACUCCAGGAGACCGUGGAGCAGCUAGUGGCUGCGCCAGUUGUGGCUCGUCGAGGACGGGCAGGGCUUGCGAUAGAGAUGGUUCCGUCGGGGUCGAGCGAUCCGACUCCCGAAAGUGCAUUGGUGGAGACGGAGAAAGAGCGGGCUUUGGCGGCCCUCAUGACCUUCAAGAAGUUUGAUCCGCCUACCUUCGAUAGAGAGAAUGUCGAUCCCUGGAUUGUGGAUAUGUGGAUUGACUCUAUGGAAACGCUCUUCGAGGAGCUGUACACAUUGGAGCGGGACAAAGUGCCCCUAGCCAUGCAUUGCUUGAACCAAUCGGCGAAGGUGUGGUGGAAAGGCAUUCGGCGGAACCGAUCGCCUAAUCUUCUUCCUAUGGCAUGGGAUGAGUUUCAGGGAUUGGUGUUCUCAGCUUACUUCCCUGACAGUGAAAAGAGAAAGCUUCAGGACAGGUUUAGGAAGCUGCGUCAAGGAGACCACUCAGUGCGGGAGUACGAACGGGAGUUCUCCCGUAUCGUGGGAUGCGUCCCGGAUGUUGUACAGGAUGAGAAGGAUAUGGCCGAUUGGUUCUUACGUGGACUUCGACCAGAUAUUUACGAGAAGGUGCAAAUCCUCAAGCUCACAACCUUCGCGGAGGUGUUGGACCGAGCAUUGUGGGCAGAGCAUGGCGAGGCUUUCGUGCAUGAGGAGCGCAAAUCUCAUAAGCAUGAGCGGGGAGGGGCGAGGUCGCUAUUGAGCGGUUUGGAGGGGCAGUCAAGUUCUAGGUGCCACUCGAAGCUGUCCUCUACUCGAUCCUCCCCAGGUUGUGUGAUUUGUGGUGGUUCCCACCAGGCGCGGUGGUGCGCACUGCGUGAUAGAAGAUGUAUCUGUUGUGGGCAACCAGGCCAUAUGCGGGAUGAGUGUCCGUAAGGUGAUAGCCGGGCCUUGGCGUUGGUGACGGCUUUUUUCUCUCCGGGACAGCCGGCGGGUGUGCCACCUGUGGCACGGUCGGGAGAGCGAGCGAUGACAGUGAUGCAAUCGAGGAGUUCGCGGCGGGCGCUAAGAGGCCAUGGACACGCGACCCGGGAUAUGGGACCUGCUGCUGACGACGUCGUGGCAGGUAUGAGUUAUUAAUGCAGUUAUGUGUUUCUGCAUGAUGUAAAGUGGUGCAUUGCAUGCAUUGAGCAUAUAGUCACUUACUAUUAUAUGUGUAAGUAUAGUAGGGACCAAGGGGACGAGUAAAUGUGGAUACCCGGUUAUGCUUGUGUUGUGAGAGCGUAGCACCUACUGGUGCACGUAGCGAGCUAUGUGGCACUAGCGAGUUGCUAGUGAUGGUUUGGUGAUGAGACUCGUAGUAGAGAUGGAAAGGAUGGACCAACUCGUAAAGCAAUGUGUAGCAGAUUGCGAGAGUUGAGUUAUGACGCUGAUGGAUACUCAAGUAGUCUGAGUAUUCCAGAUGUUGUUCCAGUAGAUCGAACAGUGAAAGUGAAUCACUGUUGCGAGGUUUGUUGGAUAGUGCCAAGUUUGGCCUGUGAGCCUAGUUGUACCUCAAUGUGAGGUAGGAGAAUGUGCUUGGUAGACGAUACGCGGGGGUAAGAUUGCCCAAAGCCAAGACUUAGUGUAAAAUGCUAUCGUAGCGUACGAUGCCCGAGUAUAGGUACUCAUGGAGUGCAGAUUUAGUUCAGCCGAGUGAGUGGGUUGGUAGCAGCACUUGAGCGUUGCUAGGUGUGAAACGCGCCAUGGAUCACUCGUGGGGCUGGUGGCUCGCACUAGGUGCAUAGGAGCCGGUAUGUAAUAUACCGAAAAUUCGGAAAAUAAAUAUCGAACUUUAGUCAAAUUGACCAAAGUGCGAGGAUGGAACACUUCGGAAAGUCCAAAGGUGUUAAAAUGGUUAAAAGUGAGUUGCGGAUGGUUUUCGAGAGCUAGAUAAUUGAAUUCUGCAAAACUGCAGAUUUUCAGCUCUCGGGGACCGGUCCCUGAAGGGAGAGACCGGUCCCCGAACGCGUAUGAAAUGAGACAGCCGAAAAAUCGGCUAAGUCCUAGAAGGUUAGCUCUCGGGAACCGGUCUCUGCCUGAGAGACCGGUCCCCCAGAGACCGGUCCCACAAGGAGAGACCGGUUGCACUGCGCGCAGCAGCUCUGGCUUCGCAGGGUGGACGUUCGGGAACCGGUCCCUGCUCGGGGAGACCGGUCUCUGCCCGCGCGAACUGCCCAGUUCGGGCAGUGUAAUAAAGUGAAAGUUGAGGGGUUUAUUAGCAUUUUUGCAACCCAUUGAGCUAUGUUAGGGGGCUGAGGGGUUUUUCCUCUCAUUCCACUCCCUCUCACACUCUCUUCUCUCCCUCUCUCUCUCUAGAAGAUAAAAGAGAAGAAGAAGAAGAAGAAGAAAGGAAGAAAAGAAGGAAAAGAAGAGGAAGAAAGUGGAGAAGAAGAAGAAGAAGUGAAGAAACUCCUUCUCCUUCAUCUCUAGCUUGAAGAAAGGGAAGCUUAUAAGGUAAGCUUCAAACCCUAAUGUAGUAAAACCCUAGAAAUGGGUUUGAAUGAACCUAAGGUUGGGUUUUAAUGGAAUAUCUAGUAGUUUUGAAGCUUUCUUUUGCUUCUAAAGAGAUCAAAACCUAGUUUUGAUACAUAGGUGAGCUUGGACCACCUCUAAUGGUGAAAUCCAAACUAGGGUUUUGGAAAGCCUAAGAAUGGUUCUAAUGGACUAUUUAGAGUAUAAUGAAGCUACUUUUGCUUCCCAAUGAGAUCAAACCCUAGGUUUGAUAUAUGUAUUGAAGCUAGGGCACCAAAUUGGGGCUUUUGCUCAUGAAGGUUUCUAAGUGCAAUUGACCCUCUAAAAACCUAAUUGGGGGUAUUUCCGACGCGUUGGUGCGCUCGGAAUAGCAUUUCGAAAAGUGUAUGAAAAGUUAUGGGCAAAAUGGCCUAAUAAGGGUUCGUUUUGCCGCAGGUAAAGAACGAGGCAUCUAAAAAUCCUAAGAAAAUCAUCGGAGCACCUAAAGAGACCUACAAGGUGGGUGGUGCUUUUCAAACUCAUUGAAAUUCUCUCUAUGCCUAAUGUGUCAUUCUUUGAGCAUAUGUUCUAUAUAUUGUUGCAUGCAUUUUAGGGUAAAGUAAUGAUGAAAUGUGAUGAUUGCAUGAUUGUGAGCACAACUUGCAUAAUGAGAUGGUUGAGAACCUAAUAAUGUCAAAACCCUAGAUGUAUGCAUGAGAGAAAAUGUGAGCACCCAAAGUGAGCAAAAGAACAGAGUGGCACAAUGACAUAGAUCGAGUGGCAUUUGAAAAUGUAAAGUAAAGAGACACUAGAGUUAGUGUGAUGCAAAGAACCAAAGUAAUGUAAAGAAUGAUGAAAAUGACAAUGUGUAAAGUAAAGUAAAGUGGGGCAAUAAGAACAAGUAUUGUAACAAACAAGCAUGCUAGAGUUAGCAAGAGUAAAGAAAUGUAAAGAAAGUGAUUGCAUGAGUUGGCAACAUAAAGUGAUGUAAAGAACACUAGAGCUAGUGUAAAGUCAAGAUUGAACUUAUAAAUCCUUUGAGUUAAGGAUAUGAUCAUACUUGCUAUGAGUUCCGUGCUCGAGGGCGGUCGCUCCCCCUCGGGCGAUGCGCUCCGGAGUUAUGCAUCCGGGUUGGAGUAGACCCGUAAGGACGGUCCUAGCUGGUGAGUUCCUGCGAUGAUGGACUUAAUGUGAAGCAAGUUAAUGUGGCGAAACCCCCGGGUUAGCCUUAAUGAUUAAAGAACAAAGAGCAAAGAACAAAGUGUAAAGUGUAAAGAACGAAAGAACAUGCAUAACCUGCAUCUAUUUAAUGUUGAGCAUAUUUCUUGCUAUUUGUUCAGGCAUAUUAGCAUCAUGUUAUAGAUUGGUUACUAAAUCUUACUUAUCCUUUCUAUUAUGCCUGAGUUAGUCCUAGUGGGAAAGUCGGUGAUGUUGGGGCCGAACCCACUGGGAACUUUGUUGUAGUUCUCACCCCACUAUUUCCACAGAGCCGGGACCGAGCGAGCCGGCGAGCGACCGCGGUAAAGGUAUCGCGCCUUAGACAGAGGCCACCAAUGUCGGAUUUCAUUUUGUAGUAAAGUACCUUAUGAUCAUCUUUUGUAUUUGAUGAUUAGUAGUGUAAAGAAAAGAAUGUAAAGCUUAUUUGAGGAAAAUGUGAUGUAAGAAAGAAAUGAUGAAAUUUUGUAUUGGAAUGCAAAGAAUUCAAAAUUACUAGAUGAAUGCAAUGUGUAUGAUCCAAAAUGAAUCAUGUUACUUGUGAGUGUUUAGUUUCCUUUUUCUUUCACUAAUGGCUGUUGCUUACCCUCGAGUAAGCCGUUUGUGUAUGUUUCCGCUAGUGCACUUCUUAUUGAAAAUGUACAUGUGAUGAGCCUUGGGCGGAUAGGGGAAACUCUGUCCGUUCGGCGUCUGUUUGACGUGCUCGGGUCGGGCCAAAUUGGCAUCGGUCCCGGGGCGUGACACGGUAGUGAUACGCAUUGCUCGAUAGAGCGUGUAAUGCGAUUGAGAGUAUACUGAGAGUGCGAUUGUGACCCAACCCGAGGAUUUGUAACGGUUUGGGAUUUUAGUUGCUCCUGGUUGGAGUGUGAGCGAAUUCCCAAGUGAGAAUUUCACCCCAGUGAUGAUUGGGUCUACGCUUGCGAGUGAGAGAUGUUGCGCGUACGUUGAGACAGGUUUAGGCUGUAGGCCUACGUAAUAUUGGUGGCCUUUGGACCACCAAUGGAAACCGAGGAAAGCGAUUUGGCGGAUAGCCUUAUCGAGAGAUUUGACUCGAAUUCACGAACAAAGUGUUCUUGUGAGCUCUUUUCAAAAAUGGUUUGACGUUGACCGUGGCAUAUGGUAUCGAAAAAUGAAGUGCUCUUAGAGAGACCUUAUGCUUAUGGCAAGCCACAUGGAAUUUGAGAAUUGGAAGUGGGGAUGUGUAACACACUGGACCUUUGCAAAUUGCGAGGUUCGAGUGAUUGGAUGUGUUAUGAGUUUUUCCAGACUUUUUGGUGGGUCGUAGACAGUGUUCCGACCUAUGGCUCGUAUCCCGAGGAUUCAGGUUUGAAGCCUAACACCAAAACCCGAAAAAUCGGAUUUUUGGUUAGCUCUCGGGUAGCCUUCAGAGGGCUGUGUACCGGUACGGGGUGAUGGCUGUACCGGUACAGCCAUCAACAUUGGCUGCUUCUCAGCCAAUCCAAGGCUUGAGUUUGGCUAUUUCGUAGGAUGUGUACCGGUACGUGGGCCCGUGUACCGGUACGUAGUGGCAGUUUUUGAGCAGUUUGAACUGCAGGGGUGUUUUUGCUUUUGUUGCUAUCCUACUUAACACCACGCCCUUUGGGGCUUUCCCUGAGCUGAGGAAGGAGGAGAAGGAGGUAAGAGAGCCCUCCUUACCAUUUCCUUGGAUUUAUACUCCCUUUUAGCUUGGGAUUUAAGGUUUAAUCCCUCUCUUUUCCCCUUUUAUGUUUUUCCUCCAUGGUUGAAGCUUGGAGCUUGGAUUUGGAGCAUAGUUGAGGAAAGAUCUUUCGACUUGGAGAGUUUAGAGCUUGAAUUGAAGCUUCUAAGAGGUAAUCUACUAGUUCUCUCCAUCUAGAAUUGAGUUUUAUUGUUGGUUUUGAGAUGAAACCCUAGAAUGGAGACUUAGGGCUUGAUUUGGGUAUUUUUGAUCUAGGGCUUUUGGAACUUGAUUACUUGGAUUAGAACCUUCCCCUAGAUUGGAUUGGAAGGAUUCUAGCUCUCUUUUGGAGCUUGAGAGAGAUUUUUACCCCAUAGGUGAGAUUUUAGCCCUUUUGCCUUGAUGGUUAAUGUUUGAUCUUAUAGUUGUUCGUAACGCUCGUGUAGCUCUUCGCUCCUUACUUUUAGGGUACUUAGAGACUCGUGGACAACUCCGUUCGGCGAAUCGAAGGUCCACGCGACGGUUCGGUGGGUUUGACCUAGCCACAUAAUGAGAAAAUCUUAUUUGUGAUGAUUUGUGUAUCGUUAAAUGAAAAAGCAUGCAUAAUCAUAUUAAAUAUAAUUAUUGUGAAUUUUAGGAUGCUUAAUAUGUCUAUGUUAUGUGUAAGAAAAUUUCGGACCUCUAUGUAGUAGAGAACUAGCAUGUGGAACUUGUAUAUGUUUGGCAUCCUAUUGAGACUUGGAAUCAUAAUUCCUAUUUAGAAAAUGAGUAUCUCUUGCAUGCAUUUAAAGCUAUUUCUAUUUUAGACUUGAAGGUUCUUAGUAAGCCAUAAAGAGGCUCGGGGACUUGUACUACUUGUGAAUAAUUGGGCUAAUGUCAUAAAGGGGCAUUAAGCUCGGAUUAUGUGUGAACCUAAUGGAUAGUGCCAUUGAGAGAAUUGGAAUAUGCUUGUACAUCGAAAUGUCUAAGUGUCAUAAAGGGGCACUAGACUUAGAAAAUAUUGGAACUUCACAUUGUGACCUAGAGCUAGAUCAUUGAGAUGUUAGUGACUAUUACCAUGUUAGAGACAUGACGAGUGGAUACUUGAGACGAUGAUACGCUUGUUUUUCAUUUGUGCUCAUUCGCACAUACUUGUGAGGGUCGCUCCCUACCAGCCGGCACUUCGGAGUUGGCCUACGCGACUUAUGCUCACUCGUGCGGUAUCGAAAAACCUACGGGGUCGGGAGGGAUAGACUCAUUCCUAGAGUGGGAAUGCUGGAGCUACCACCGACACUUAGGUGGCACAAGCUAGACUACAAUAUGUGGGUCCUAAAACAUGUUGGAAACAAUGACAUUUAAUCGGGAGAUGACAAUUACUACUAGAUAGGAUUAGUAGUUGGAUUACUUUGACAUGCUUAUAGCAUAGUGUUGAGACAUGUAGUAUACUUGAUAGUUUACUUACUGUAUCAUAGUAUACUUGUUUUUCAUGAUAGAGCAUACUCGUUAUACAUUGAUAGAACAGGUCAUGACACAUACUUGUUGCCAUGUUGGAACAUAUUACUUAUGCAUUGAACAUUCUUCAUUAUGAAAGAGUAAAUGUAAAACAUUGACAUCGUAAUGUUUAUGGUAUAGUAAGCUUAGUAAACAUGCAUACUUUCAUACUGCAGUUAUCUUUAUUAUUGUUGAUGCUUACUGUACUUACCCUUUUCCUUUGGGGCCUAGUGGUGCAUUGAGCUGAGGUCAGUAAUUGCCCACUGGGAACUAUAAAUUAUAGUUCUCACGCUCUCUGUAUUAUGUUUUCUUUCAGAGCAUUCCACACCGGGAGAGGCUAGGGACCGUGGGAAGGGCGUUGCUUCGAGCUAUCUCUUCAGCGAGUGACGAGUUGAUAGGUGGUCUACCUCUCGAUGUUUUUAUUUUGGAGAAGUUGAGAGUUGUUUCCAUGUAUAGAGACCAUCCUUUUGUGUACCUUUUUUGGAGACGAUAUUGUAUAACUAUAUGUUUCACUCUUAUUAUUUUAGUAUAUUUUCCUUUACCAUGUGGUAGAUGAUAGAUGUAUACUUGCUCUGAUAUAUCUAGUUAUAGAUUUCCUUGGUUUUAUUUUCGCUGUUGUUGUAGAUGCCUUAUAUAUGUUGACAUAUGGCGGGUCUUUGCACGCUACCGGGCGUGACAACUACACUUAUUCUCAAAACAUGUCAUAGUGUCUCUACUACACUAGUCCAAAUGCCACUCGAUCUACUUGACACUCUACUUGUGCAUAUCGAGUAUUAUAAUUUUCAUAUUCUUAUUUUCCAAUGUCAAUUUCUCUAAUCGACCAAGUUCAACAUGCAUAAUUCAUCUACUAUAUUCCACAAUAUGGCAACAAGUAUAAUUCUUCUAUCAUAUGCAAUAUAUGUCAUCAUGUAUAUGUUUCUAUUUAAUAUAAUCCACAAUAUGUUAAUUCGCAUUAUGUCAUCAUGCACAUAUAUUACGAGCAUCACAUGAUAUGUCAACAUACAUAUAAUCAUCAUCCAAAGUAGUCUAUACUUAGCAUCUCAUGCAUUCUUUAGGAUUUAAUUCAUUAUACAUUUCAUCUCAUUGGUGGGUAAUAUCAACUACAUAGUAUGUUUCAAGCAUUCAUAUUAUCAUGUAAGCCUAUGUCACGCCCCGGGACCUAGCGGAAGCCCGCCCGGCGCGUGCCCAGACCCGCCAUAUGUCUACAACAUAUAAGGCGUCUAAAAGCAACAAUAAUAAAAGCAAUAAUAAAAGACAUCUAGGAGUAUCAGAGCAUAGUAAAUGUUUAAUUGCUACAACAAGGGAUAUGGAUAAAACUGUAAAUCCACUAAAUAAAACAUAAAGUGAUACAAGGAAAAUCCCAAAUACAAGUGCUAUAGGCAGAUACAUAGGUGGUCUCUAUACAUGGAUACAAAAAUCUCUCACUCUCUCGUCUACAAAAGAAAGAGUAAACCCCCUAGGCAAAGUACCGCUCCUCGCUAGCUAGCUAAGCGAUCCCCUUGCCGCGAUCCCGUGCCUCCGCCGGUGCCGAAGGCUCUGAAAAGUAAACCAUAAAACGGAGGCGUGAGAACUAUUAAAAAUAGUUCCCAGUGGGCAAUUACUGACUUCAGUGAAUGCACCACAAGGCCCAAAGCUUCAAAAGAUGUCAGGGACUAUAAAAGUAGAAAGGCAAAAGGUAAGUAAAAAUGUAACUUACUACGACAUGAUAUCUCUACUUAGCAUAAAUAGCAUAAGUAUGGAAGCAACUAUGUAUGAAGUAAAAGUCUCCAAUUAUCAUGACGUUCACAAUGUGGAAUAGUAAAGUUCCGCUGUUUACUAUUCUAGUCAAUGUCCGAGUAGUACACUAAGUCAUCAUCUGUCCAUAUGUCAUAAUGGAUAUAUAUAAAGUCAAAUCUGAAGAGACCCACCCGAAGGCUGUCUAUGGCCCUGAGACCCACCCGUAGGCUGUCUGGCCGGUGCCGAGCCUAAUGGCCCCGUGGUAGUCAUCAUCCCCACCCUAGGAAUGAGCCUGUCCCACGGCAAUCCACUUCGGCGCCCAAUCCCGCACGGCGAAUAUGAAUCGCGAUGGCCAUCUCCGGAGUGCCGGCUUGUAGGGAGCGACCCUCACAAGCAUGUGCGAAUGAGCACAAUGGCAAGUAAUCAAACGAUCUGUCGCAAGAACCAAGUCCUCAUGUCUAAUAACAUGGAAUGUGUCAAGUACCUCAAUGGCCUAUCCCUAUGUCAUCAUGUCUCUAACAUGGAAUAUAGCAGAUAUGUUGUGGCCUAUCAAUAUGUCUCUAUGUUGCAGUUUCAUAGUUUACUAGUUUCAAGUGCCCCUUUAUGACACUCUUAUUCUCUAUGUCAAAACAUGGCAACUAUGUUCCAAAGUACAUAUUCCAAGUCAUAAUCCUCAUAAGAGAUGUAUUUUUUUUUUUACUUGCAAAAUAAACACUUUUCCCGUAUGCAUGCAUUCUACUCAUAUAGCUCUACUAUAUAGUGAAAUUUUCAUCAAUACACAAGACAUGCAUUUUAAGUGCUCUAAAAUUCAUUUAAAUUCCAUUUAGCAUAGAAAUGAAUUUAAAAAUAUUUUACAACAAGUAGAAAGAGCAUAGGGGCCAUUUCGCCCCAAUUCCACGAAGCCAAACCCACCGAUGACAACGAAACUCCUCGCGCGCUCCCACGAGGAUGUCCUCAAGUCUCCUAGUACCCUAAAGGUAUAGAAACAUGUGUCAUCUAACCGGAAUGAACGACACUAAGCUCAAUCUUUAAGCUUCUCAAGCUAGGGUUAGGAAAAACUCACCGAUUGCGAAGGAAGCUCUCUCGAUCUCCAAACGGGAGUUAGAGUCCUUCCAAUCUAACCUAAACAAAGGUUCUAAACCCAUCAAUUUGAUACAAAAGCCCUCAAAAUGAAAAUCCCCAAAUCUAACCCUAAAAUGCCAAAUCUAGGGUUUGAUCUAGUAAAAUCCAACAAAAUCCGAAUCUAGAGGAGAGAAAUUGCUACUAACCUUUUAGAAGCUCCAAACCAAGCUCCAAAGUCCUCUAGGGUUGAAGGUUGAUCCUCAAACAAGCUCCAACCAAGAUCUCACACUUCUCCAAUGGUGGAAAACCCACAAAAAGCAAGAAGGAGAAGAGAAAAGAGAUCAAAACUAGCAAAAACCCAACAAAAAUGAAGAAGAAACCAAAGGGGAGUUCUCACCUUAUCUUCUCUGUUCUAGGGCUCAAAAGAGCAGCCAUGAGGGCUGGGGUGACUUAUAUAGGCGUUGCAACAAUUGCAAAAACACCCCUCUACGAAACAGUCAAAAUCUGCACUGCGUACCGGUACACGGGUUUGUGUACCGGUACACUGCCCACGAAAUGCCAAACCCGAGCCUCGGGUUCACUGGGAAAUGCUCUGUGUACCGGUACACAACCACGUACCGGUACAGCCAUCAACCCCGUACCGGUACAGCAAGCGAACCCGUACCGGUACACGGCCUGCUGAAGGCCACCCGAGAGCUGACCAAAAAUCCAACUUUUUGGAUUUUGGUACACAGCUUUAAACCACAAUUCUCGGGACUCGAACCAUAGGUCGGAACACUGUCAACGACCUACCAGAAAGUCUGGAAAAGCUCGACACACAAAUCAAACACUCGAACCUCGCAAUUUGCAAAGGUCCAGUGUGUUACAGCCUACCAAUACAACUAUAUACAUCAAUGUGAAUUUGUAUGUUUCUUAGACAUAAAGGGCGACCUAGUCGCUUCGGUAAGCACAACCCACCUCAAAUCGCUUUCCGAUAGCUUGUCGACACUUGCAAUCGGCCUCCAGCGGCACCCGUGUCCGGUUCAGCCCGAUUUUGCUAAUACUCACCAACCGUGCGUCGAAUCGUGGCUCCGAAAAUUAUAGGUCUUCGAUUAUGUUCCACGGUGCUUCAAAUCCAUUUUCAUGAUUUUACGAUGUCGCCUCGGCCCUCCAGGCGGAAACGAAGCCUAACGUCCGUUUCUUUAAUAACUUCACAAUGGCUCGACGAAUCACCGAACCGACUUCGCCAACGCGUUCGUUUACCUAGUAAUUAGGUUUACGGAGGGUCAAAUUAGAUCAAACCCAUACGUUUUACAAAACCCCAAUUUUGAAGCCCUAGAUGCCAUUAUAGCUAAAUGCAUUAUUUAACUUCAUGAAUCAAACAAUAAACCUCUAAUUAGCAUCUAAGCAUUCUACUAAAUCCAUCUCUAGAGCAUAUAAAGCUAAUACUAGAGAUCCACCUCAAAGCUUGCUCCAAACCAUAGAGAAGAUGAAGAAGAUGAAGAUGAUUCACUUCCAAGCUUCAAUCUCCACCAAAUCCACCAAUUUUGGGAGAGAUUUAGAGAGAGAAUGGGAGGUUUCUCUCUCUCCCUCUCCAUGCGUGUGUGAGGGUGUGUGUGUGCGGGUUGUGGCUGCACGGUUGAGGGGAAGAAGGAGACAAGUGGCCAAAUUCACAAGAACCCCUUGCACCUAUUAGAAAUUACAUCUCCAGCUCAGUUUAGCAGUUCGGAGUUAUUGGAGCCCUUCUGAACGUCCGUUUGCGCUCAAAUUUGAUGGACAGGCUCGGUUUAAUGUACUGAGUAAGAAUAUAUCUUAAGUUUUUAGUUUCGACCCCGUUUGGUCACCGAAAUCUCUACCGAACUGUAAUCUUUAUCAGAUAGCUGUUGGAUUUUAUUUUCCACUUUUCGGGUGUCAGAAUGGCAUGAAACUUUAAAUUUAGCCUCAUAAAAAUAAUUCUGACAUAUCCUCCAGUUUUCAUAAUUUUCUGACACAGUGCAUUUUCUGCUAAUUUAUCUACCCCGUUUCUCACAGAAAAUUCUAAAUCUUCUAUUUUCACUCCGAUUUCAGCACAGGUCAUUCUCAACCUAUAUUUCACCUCUCUAAAUCCAAUAAAAAUAGUAUCUCAUACUAUUUUUAUUUAUUUUCGUUUUUAUAUUUAAAAUUCGGUAUAUUAUAUUCCACCGCAACCUCACCGGAACCAUUCAAAUGGCCUUCCAAUCGAAUGUACACCGUAACUUAAUAGUUUUAGAAGUCCGGUACCUUACAAUUAAUCUCUCCAAAAAUUCAUCAUCUACUGUAUCGUGAGCAAUAUAUUCAUUCGCUACCAUAGGGCAUCGAAUACUGAAUUUAAGACGAAAUUCUUCUCUAUUACAAUUUACUAAACGAUACAUUCUCGCAUCAAAAUUAGUAUAUGUCGUAUCUGAACGAAUCGCAAUCAAUUUCUUCUGACCGCCGACAUAUCGGGGACCAUUUCCAUCCGUAGUUAACUGUCAAUCCCAAUGAACACUAAGAGACAUCCGACGAUUAGCCAUUUUCACUACACAAAAAAAACUUUCAAAUCUACUCUCAAAAUAUUUAGUAAAUAUAAUACAAAAGUUUAAACCUAAACUAGGCUAAUGCCUAGUUUAAAGUAGGUUUAAACCUAGUUUAAACCUAGUUUAAAACAAGUUUAAACUACAAGCCCGUCUCAUUAAAAAGUUUAAAUAUAACGUACCGAAACUCGGUAGAAAAUAUCGAAUUUUGGGCAAAUAGGCUCAAGUGUGCGAAAGAAAUAGUUGGACAAAUCCCAUUUAACUUUUCAACAAGGUUAGAAGAGUUAAAAGUGAGUUAGGAAGAGUUAAAAGGGUCUUGGCAUUGCUCGGUGCAGAAGAGAAGUCGAACAAGAACUAAAACCCAAGUCUGGGCAUUGUGUACCGGUACAACAUUGAUGUUGUACCGGUACAACACUGCAAACCGAGAGAAAUUGCUCUCGGGUUUGCCUCCGUGAAGUCGUGUUACUGGUGACACCCUUGGUGUGUACCGGUACACUUUUGCAAAACCCGAACAACUGCUCUCGGGUUUGCCUCUGCGAGAUCGUGUAACCGGUGACAGCCCACCUUGUACCGGUACACAUUGGACCUGACAGCAGGUUGAAGUUUACUGCAAAUAGAAAAAAGUGGAGAGCCUUUUUGCUAUUGUAGCNCAUGGGCCUAGCUUCGACAGAAGGCUCACAACACAAUCACUUAGAAAUUUUCGAUCUCAAUGUUUCCCUAGCAUUGGAUGUUCCAGGUGUACAAGGCCCCCAAACUCAAUUCUCGCGAUAGAGGUGGAUCAAUCCACCGUUCAACGACAACUCUCUAUCAAAGUCAUCCUGAUGCGAUCGUCAAACCAAAGUCAAUUCCAUCAGUCCUCAUAUAAGGUUCUAUCCUGAAGGACUCAAUUCCUUGUACACGCUCCUGACACGGGGAAUUCGUAACUUGGUACCUUCCCUCUCACGAGCUUUCCGUCCAUUUGUGAGAGUUCCACAACUCGAUCACUUCAAUCCUGCAAACGCAGUCCAACCUCGCACAUCCUAUUAAAAUACCCCAAGUCAUCCGCAACGGUUCCACAAAUCCACCCAGAGGCUGGGAUUAUCAUUCCGCGAACCCUUCCACAGGUAGAGUAUUAUAGGCUUAGGCAGCAUCAUCCUCGUGAUGUCCACACCUAGCAUCACAACCCAUUUGAGGUACGACCUCAAACUCCAACAUCAACAGCAUUACUCAGAUUACUCACAAUCUUACAAGUACACCAACAACUCAAGGCCAUCUGACAAGGUCAAUGGGCCUCAGCAACGGUCUAAGCCUCCAAUCGUGGUUCAAUUUGAAUCACGAGAGUCGACAUACAGUCGGAACGGCCCAACCGGUCCCACAACAGGUGAGAGUGCUCCUCCACGAGGCAAAACACCAACUAUAAAAUCUCCCUGUCAAAUGAGCUAACGAUUGGUGACUCGAUCGGGGACAUAACGACCGAUCAAGGACAUCCUUUAUUUCAAGGAUUCUUGAUCACCCAAAGCUAAUGGCCACUCAGGCCCCAAACCCUCUCCAACACUUACCCUAUUUUAGGUAAGAGAGACUAUCAACGCAUAUAGCAGAAGUAAAUCCUCAAAUCGCACUAUUUCGUGCACACAGUCCUCAAGGCGAGUCAAGUCAGCUCGCAAACCAAGGGUACCAGGUACCCACAACAACUCCACACCAAGGAAGGCCAAUCUAUUUGUUGGCACACAGAACCAUCUCACGGGGUAGAGCGUUCAAAACGACACACCCGAUCAACCGAUCAUCCACACGCGCCAAAGGCUCAACGCUAACAAAUCCUCGGGUUGGGUAACUACACACUCAGCGUGUCCUCGAUCGCACGAUCCAACACGUGGCUGUCACGCCCCGGGACCCAGCGGAAGCCCGCCCGGCGCGUGCCCAGACCCGCCAUAUGUCUACAACAUAUAAGGCGUCUGGGAACAACAAUAAUAAAAGCAAUAAUAAAAGACAUCUAGGAGUAUCAGAGCAUAGUAAAUGUCUAAUUGCUACAACAAAGGAUAAGGAUAAAACUGUAAAUCCACCAAAUGAAACAUAGAGUAAGAACAAUAGGAAAUCCCAAAUACAAGAGUUAAAAGUAGGUACAUAGGUGGUCUCUAUACAUGGAUACAAAAUCUCUCACUCUCUCUCAACUACAAAAAGAAAGAGUAAACCACCUAGGCAAAGUACCGCUCCUCGCUAGCUAGCUAAGCGAUCCCCUUGCCGCGAUCCCGUGCCUCCGCCGGUGCCGAAGGCUCUGAAAAGUAAACCACAAAACGGGGGCAUGAGAACUAUUAAAAUAGUUCCCAGUGGGCAAUUACUGACUUCAGUGAAUGCACCACAAGGCCCAAAGCUACAGAAGAUGUCAGUGACUAUAAAAGUAGAAAGGUGGCAGGUAAGUAAAAAUGUAACCCACUACGACAUGAUAUCUCUACUUAGCAUGAAUAGUAAAAGUAUGAAAGCAACUAUGCGUGAAGUAAAGUCUCCAACUAUCAUAAUGUUCACAAAGCGAAAUAGUAAAGUUCCGUUGUUUACUAUUCUGGUCAAUGUCCAAAUAAUACUCUAAGUCAUCAUCUAUCCACAUGUCAUGAUGAAUACUCAAGUCAAAUCUGAAGAGACCCACCCGAAGGCUGUCUAUGGCCCUGAGACCCACCCGGUAAGAGUAGGAUUAGGCCACUAAUUUGGUGAUAAAUUCUAUGUCAAUAGAAGCAAUGCAUGACAUAAGACAGAAGGGCCCAUUGAGAAACUGACAAUUAAUGUAAUAAUAAUAGAGAUAGAGAUAGACGUAUAUGAACUACUGCAAUUGUGAUACUAUGCAAACAUAGCUAGUAGAAAGGUGUCAAAAAUACAGCGGCACUCGGAGAUGGCCAUCUGCGAUACAUCAGAGUGCGGGAUUGGGCGCGAAGUGGAUUGCGUUGGGACAGCUCAUCCCUAAGGGUGGGGAUAUGAUACCCGGUCCAUUAGGCUCGGCACCCCGGCAGAAGCCUACNNNNNNNNNNNNNNNNNNNNNNNNNNNNNNNNNNNNNNNNNNNNNNNNNNNNNNNNNNNNNNNNNNNNNNNNNNNNNNNNNNNNNNNNNNNNNNNNNNNNGAACACUGUCAACGACCCACCAGAAAAUCUGGAAUUGCUCAGCACACAGCUCGAACACUCGAACCUCGCAAUUUGCAAAGGUCCAGUGUGUUACACUAACUCCGGAGUGCCGGCUUGUUGGGAGCGACCCUCACAAGCAUGUGCGAAUGAGCACAAAUGGCAAACAAGCAUAAUCAAAAGCUCAAGAAUCCGAUCCUCAUGUCUCAAACAUGGAAAGCUACUAGUAACCCAACGGUCUAGCUCUAUGUUACAACGUGAUAUCCCAAUACUCACUUGCUUAGUGCCUCUUUAUGACACUUAAGCACCACAACUAAUCAAGCCCAAAUCAUGUUCUAUGUCCCCAAUUAAGACAUUAAUACCAAUGCUCACUAUGGCCCGAGCCCAAUGCCUCUUUAUGACAUUGGCCCAAAUUCUCAAAUAGUUUAAGUCCCUAAGCCUCUCUAGGCUUCCAAAGUCCCUAAUGUCACAAUUGGGCAUAAAGGUUAAAUGCAUGAUAGCAAUGUUUAUUUUCAUGAUAGGAAUUAUGGUUCCAAAUCUCAACCAGAAUGCUAUGUCUCACAUGCAUGCACUCUACCACAUAGAGGUCCAAAAAUUUACUAUACAUUACAUAUGCAUGUUAAUCAUUCUAAAAUUCAUAAUAAAUAUAUCUAACAUGAUUAUGCAUGCUUUUUCAUUUAACGAUACUCAAAUCAUCACAAAUAAGAUUUUCUCAUUAUGUGGCUAGGUCAAACCCACCGAACCGUCGCGGAGUCCUUCGUUUCGCCGAACGGAGUUGUCCACGAGUCUCUAAGUACCCUAAAAGUAAGGAGCGAAGAGAUACACGAGCAUUACGAACAACUCUAUGCUCAAACAUUAACCAUCACAAGCAAAGGGGCAAAAACUCACCUAAGGAGUAGAAAAUCUCUCUCAAGCUCCAAAAGAAAGCUAGAACCCUUCCAAUCUAACCCAAAGGAAGAUUCUAAUCCAAAAAAUUGAGCCUCAAAAGCCCUAGAUCAAAAAGCCCCAAAAUCAACCCUAAAAUCCCAUUCUAGGGUUCCAUCUCCUAAAAACCUUCAAAUCAUGAAAUCUUGGAAAAAGAACAAGUUGCUUACCUCCUAGAAGCUUCAAUCUUGGUUCAAAACCCUCUAGGUUCCAAGAUCUCGCCUCAACUAUGCUCCAAAUCCAAGCUCCAAGCCACCAAAAGGAGGAAGAGAGGGUAUGGGUGAAGUUCCAAGCCUCCAACAAGCUCUCUCCUCCAUCUUCUUCCUCUCCUUCUUCUUCUUCUCUCUCUAGGAGCAAAUGAAAUGGUGGAAUGAGGGAGGAGAGAAGAAGAAGUUGUAAGAAAAUCAUGUGUACGCAGCGGAAGAAAAUAACACAAUUAAAAGUUUUCUUGAAAACCAAAGAUCACCUCGUGUUUCAUUUUAGAUCAUUAAUAAUAGAUCUAAUUGAUCUAAUCAAAUAGGAUCUAUAUUAUUUUAUUUUACCUAGCGCGGGUCGAGGUCACCGCGAAGUCGAAAAUCGUUGGUAAAAAUUUCUUCGUCCUCGGUUAGCCACGCACGUACCCGGCCUCUACUCGCGUCCACACGAAAUCACGCCCUUGAUCGAAAUAGACGACAGCUUCAAUCCGUAAUCCGAUCACGAAUUAACCCUUGCGUCGACUUGAGGAAGAUGAAUCAAUCUUCUAGAUGUGCUAGCAACUUUUUGAAGAUCGAAACCGAUGGAUUAAUUGUGGAGGACUUAAGAAAGAAAAAGAAUUGACGGCUAGGGUUUUCUUUUUCUUUUUGCUUAAUUUUCCAUUCAUUUUAAUAUGUCAUAUGACAUAUAUUUAUAAUGAGAAAACCCUAACGUAAUCCUAAUCGAAAUCCUAUUCCGAUUAGAUUAUCCAUUAACCCACAAGUUGGUUAUGAUAUUAACCGAAUUCCGAAUCCUAAUUCUAAUUCGAUUCGUGUGUAACAUUUACACAUAAGUCCUCAUAUUAUUUACUAACGAUUAGUAAAUACACCAUGCAACUUUUACACAUAAAUACCUCUAAUUUACAACAAUUGCAAAUUAGUUCUUUUACUAAUAAAUUAGUAAACUUUAGUAUUUAACUAUAUUAUAAUUGUAAUUAAUCCAUCCGAUAAACUUCUUUUAUCAUAUCUUAAAUAUCGAUCAUGCGCGAUUUCUUAUGUGUGUGACCUAAUAGGUUCAAUUCUGUCUGGUAGUGGGAUAUGAUGAGAUCUCCAUCUACAUCAUCAUCGAAACUCUUUUCGAUGGCUCAAACUCUUUUGAUUCCACCCUAAUAGAAUAAUUAAUAAUUAUUUCUAUUGGUUCCCACAAUCCACCAGUGACGCCUAGCAGCAUGUAGUGGCAAUCCAGUCAAAAGUGAAUAUCGGACUGAACCUCUAGGUGCAGUUACCGUACAAUACAAUCCUUCUAUCGCAUAGUUCCAACUAAGUGGAGGUCAUGGAAUAUUCGUCAAACCCCAUCACCCGUCAUAUGACAAAUUUGAUCAGACAGAAGCUCUUAUGGUGACUCUUGGAAACAUCUUUCCAUACACCAUAUUACCCCGGCCGAGGAUUUCUGUGCUUUGCCGUACAAAUAGCAUAGAACUAAUUAUCUCUCUACCGAGAGCGAUAGAUCCCCUAUAAACACACACCCAUUCCUGAUAUGAACCGACUGCAGCCAACAUAUACUACUAAGACCCAUGGCUAGGAUCAGAGUUUGUUGCAUAGUCAAACUACAGUGGCCUCAUAUUGAAUGACCGUGGUGUCGCAGGUCUAAGGAUCAGUUGUACCACUGCAACAUCGAACCAGUUACUGACGAAUGAGUAGACAUCCAUGUAACUGUUCGUAGUUAGUCACGCUCAAUACCGUUGUUCUCCAACAACCGCCUGCAUGUUCGCUCCAGUGUCCCCACACUGAUGACUCGAGAUUCGUCAUCCCAAAAGGGAAGCGACACACACAUCAAUCUUACCGGAUCAAUCAUCGUCCCCAUGAUGAUCCUCCGAUUGUGAGCAUUUAUGAAUUAAUCACCAAUAAUAUGUAUCUCAAAUUCUCAACUCUUUAGAAUACAUAUUAUCAUCUUAUUAAUUCAAAGGACGAUUCAUGGACACAUUUAACAUGAAUGGAAUAAAAGGCCCAAUUAUAUAAAUAAUAAUGAUUAAGUACAAAAAUAUGUCCCAUAGAAAAUAAAAUGCGUCAGCUUGAUAGGCUUCUAGGGCAUACAACUAACAAUCUCCUACUUGCACUAAAGCCAAUCAGCCAUGUACCUAAUGCCCAUCUUCUCAAGAUGAGUCUCAAGUUUCUGCUGAGUCAAUGCCUUAGUUAGCGGGUCCGCCACGUUAUCCUCGGAGGCAACCUUCUGUAUUUCAAUAUGUUUAUCCUUGAUGUACUCUCUGAUCUUGUGAUACCGCCGCUCAAUGUGCUUGGAUUUCUGAUGAGACCUUGGCUCUUUUGCUAAUGCUACGACGCCAUUAUUAUCACAAUAUAGUGGCAAGGGAUCCUUACUGGAAGGAACCACGCCAAGCUCAGCGACAAAUUUCUUGAUCCAAACAGCUUCCUUGGCAGCUUCAGAUGCAGCGAUGUACUCCGCUUCUGUAAUAUACCAGAUUUUGGUAUAAAAAUAAAAAUAAAUAAAAAUAGUGUGGGAUACUAUUUUUAUUGGAUUUAGAGAAGUAAAAUAUAAGUCAGAAUUGAUUUGUGCUGAAAUCGGAAUGAAAACAGAAGAUUUAGAAUUUUCUGUUGGAAACGAGACAGAUAAAUUAGCAGAAAAUGCACAGUCUCAGAAAAUUAUGAAAAUUGGAGAAUAAGUCAGAAAUAUUUUUAUGAGGCUAGAUUUAAAGUUUCAUAUUUUUUUGACACCCGAAAGUUGGGAAAUAAAAUCCGAAAGCUAUCUGAUAAAGAUUACAGUUCGGUACAGUUUUCGGUGACCAAACGGGGUCGAAACUGAAAACUUAAGAUAUAUUCUUACUCAGUACGUAAAACUGAAUAUGACUGUCAAGUUUGAGCUCAAACGGACAUUCAGAGAGCUCCGGCGAAAGAUAUCAGAUUUUAAGUUGCCUGGAGUGAAUAGUGUUUGGUGUUGACUUUAAUAAGAAGCUAUUUAGCUUCUUCUCCUCCAUCAGCCGACCACCAUGGCCGACACCCCUCUCACGCAUGCAUGGAGGGAGAGAGAGAGACCUUUAUUUCUCUCUCUAAAUAUCUCUCUCAUCUCUCUAUAUCUCUCUCUAAAAAUUGGAGGGUUGGUGGAGAUCGAGUCUGCGAACGUGUUGGAGGCAACGGAUCGAGCUUUCGUGCGCCCGUUGGAGCGGCGUGUUUUCGUUGCGGCGUUCACAUUGCGGUAAGCUUUUGGGAUUUGGUUUAAUCCUUAGCUUUAAGUGCACUAAUAGCCUCUAAUGAGCAUUGAUAGUAUGUUGUUCCAUUUAAUUGGAAUUAUUUGGAGGUUAAUUCAUAUUAGGGCUCAAAAAUGCUAAUUUUGAAAAUAUGAGGGUUUGAUCUAAUUUGACCCUCCUUAAACCAAAUUGCUAGGUAAACGAACCCGUUGGCGAAGACGGUUCGGCAAUCCGACGAGCCGUUACAAAGUUGUUAAAGAAACGGACGUUUAGGCUUCGUUACCGCCUGGAGGGCCGAGGCGACGUCGUAAAAUCAUGGAAAUGGAUUUGAAGCACCGUGGCACAUAACCGAAGACCUUUAAUUUUCAGAUCGUGGAUCGGAGGCCGUUCGGGUGGUCGCGCAAAAGAUCGGGCCAAACCGGAUUACGGGUGCGACGGGAGGCCGAUUGCAAGUGUCGACAAGCAAUCGGAAAGCGUUUUGAGGUGGGUCGUGCUCACUGAAGCGAUUAGGUCGCUUUCCAUGCUAAAGUAUAGUAUGUUUACUAUUGAUGCAUGAUAAAGUAUGCUAUUUAAGAAUGCAUGAUAAAGAUUAAAGUAUGCUAUUUAAGAAUGCAUGAUAAAGAUUAAAGUAUGCUAUUUAAGAAUGCAUGAUAAAGAUAGAUGUCAAAUGAAUGCAUGAGUUGAUGUUAAUUUACAUGAGCAUAUUAUAGAAAUGUUAAACAGAUGUCAAAUGAAAGUAUGAGAUUUAUUCUAACCGAGAAUGCAUGUGGUAAAUGUUAACGAAUGCAUAAAAUGCUAAGUAAUGACUACCAAUGGAUGACAAAAUAUAUGCAUGUUGAACAUAGAUCGAGUGGCAUUUGGAAAUGGUAAAGUGGACACUAGAGUUAGUGUGGGACAUCAAAGAAUAAAUGUGAUGUAAAGAAUAAUGAUAAUGGCUAAAGAUAAUGUAAAACAAUGUGAUGAUAAUAAUGUAAUGUUGCAUGAUGUGAGUACACGUGCUUAUUAGAAUGAUUAAGAAUCUAAAUAAUCUAUGUGUAUGCAUGAGAUGUAAUGUGAGAACCUAAUGAUAAUGGUUUGAGACAAGGCAAAGCAAUGUGAUGUAAAGAAUAAUGAUAAUGGCUAAAGGCGAUGUAAAGUAAUGUGGCAUAAAGAGCAAGCAAAGUGUAAAGAACAAUGAUAAUGGCUAGAGUUAGCAACCAAUGUGACAUAAAGAACACUAGAGUUAGUGUGUGGCAAUAAAAGAACAAGUGUGAUAUCAAGAAUGACAAUUACUAAAGUAAUUGAUAAUUGUGGUAUAAAGAAUAAUGAUUGCUAGAGUUAGCAACUAAUGUGAUGUAAAGAACACUAGAGUUAGUGUAAAACCAUGAUCCAACUACAUAUCCUUAGAGUUAAGGAUUGAUCAUACUUGCUAUGAGUUCCGUGCUCGAGGGCGGUCGCUCCCCCUCGAGCGAUGCGCUCCGGAGUUUGGCAUCCGGGUUGGAGUAGACCCGUAAGGACGGUCCUAGCUGGUGAGUUCCUGCGAUGAUGGACUUAAUGUGAAGCAAGUUAAUGUGGCGAAACCCCCGGGUUAGCCGUGAGAUUAAAGAACAAAGAACAAAAAGGAAUCAUGAAUUGGAAAGUGGAUCUUGUAUUCAUUAUGAAUUGACUCAAGACGGAGUCGAGUGGCAUAGUUGGCUAAAGUAAAGGUGACAAUUGAGAAAGAAUGACAAUUGAGAAACGUUUGUUAAUGUUAUAAAGAAUGGCAAAAGUGUAUAAUGCGCCUAAGGUGCGAGUGCCCUUAAUAAAGAAUAAAGAAUAAAGAAUAAAGAAUAAAGAAUAAAGAAUAAAGAGUAAAGAAUGGCUAAUGAUAAAGAAUAGCAAAUUCUAAAGAAAGUCUAAUGGUAAAGAAUAACUAAGAGUUGCAUAAUUUGCAUAUUUGUGAGGCAUGAACAUGUAUUGCAUGAUGUUAUAUGUAUAUAUAUCUGUUGGACUAACAUGUUGCAGUGCCUCCUUUGGACCUGGUGGGUUGAGCUUUUCACUUGGGUGGCUGUACCCACUGACGACUAUGGACAAUAGUCUCACCCCCGUGUUGUUGUUUUUGGGGGUACAGGUUCACACGCGAGCGGCGCGGCGGCGCGAGGAAAGGGCGUAGCUCCGUAGUUAGCGCCCUACCACAGAGACCAGAUAGCAGCACCCUGAGUCGGCUUCUUAGGGGUAUAAGAAAAGAAAAGAAAAGAAUUGAUGUUGUAAUAUUAUGUUUAGAAAUCGAUUGUAUAUUUGGAAGUUGAGAAUCAAUGUAAUGAAAAAUGCGAUGUAAAAUGAUGAGAUGAAUGAUUGUAAUAACAUAGGAUGUGUUAUGUUGUUUGAUACCUUCCUUAUGCAAUCGUUGUUGAAAAAUUGUUCCUGUUUGGAACCUCUUGUACUUGGAUUGAUUGCGACGCCUUGAACGUACAGGGGAGACUCUGUCCGCGUGUAGGGAAAACCCUGUCCGUUCGGCGGUCUGUUGGCGUGCCCGAAUCCGACCAAAGAGGCGGGCUCGGGGCGUGACAGAUAAGAUGGUAUCAGAGCAUAAAGUAGAGAAUGGGAAAGUGGUUUAGAUGAACCUAGGAGACCCUAGGAUAGUAAACCAUAGGAGAUUAAGGCUCGUGAGAGACGAGGACUUGUGGCUUUGGCGAAAGGUUAAGGGAUUGGGUUGUGUUGUAAACCUCUAAAAAGGAGAUUAGAGGUGGAUUCAAGGUGUGGUCUACUCUCAACCGAGGGUGUUCAUGUUGGACGCGUACAACAUGAAACCGAGUGAUGAGAAUAGAUGACCUUGUAUGACUUUCGCCUGAUUUGAGUUGAUGUCAGUUGUCUCGUACUCGACCUAGAAGGUUGAGAGUUAGUUGAGUUGUUAUGUUCUAGGUAACGAUGGCACUGCGUAGGCGAUCUUCGUUUAGAUCGACGCGGGGUGGGACAAGUGAUGUCCCAGAGCAAUCCAAGGCGAGCGGAGAUUUGGAACUUCGCGAACAGUUGGCCACACUUGUGGGUGUGGUGAGGCAACGAGCAGAUGUGGUGCAGCGGCAGCAGGAGGCUGUUAUGCACCAGGAGGAGCGAAUUAAGAGACUCCUGAAAAGUUGUAGGUGUAAUAUACCGAAACUUCGGUAAGCGAACAUCGAACCUUGGUCAAAUUAACCAAAGAGCGAGGUUGGUACACUUCGGAAAGGCCGAAGGCAUCAAAUAAUGCAAAAGUGCGUUACUGGGGAUCUUCGAGAGCUUUGGGAAUCAAAAUCUGCAAAUUGCAGGUUUUCUGCUCUCGGGGACCGGUCUCUGGUGGGAGAGACCGGUCCCCGCACGCGCAGACAGCGAAAGGGAGGAAAAAAAAAAAAAGGCUAAGUCCCCGGUGGACAGCUCUCGGGAACCGGUCCCUGCAGGGAGAGACCGGUCCCGAAGAGACCGGUCCCAUCGGGGGAGACCGGAUGCAUCGUGCGUGAGCCCUGCUGACCGCGGGGAGAGCUCUCGGAGACCGGUCCCUCGUCGGGGAGACCGGUCCCCGAACCUGAGAGUGGCCCAGUCAGGGCAGUGUAAAAGAGUAAAAGUUGAGAGGCUUGUUUGCACUUAUGCAACAUGUGGGGCUAUGUGAGGAGUAUGAGAGCUCUUUUCUCUCAUUUCUCAUCCACACACCCUCUCAUAUCUCUCUUUCUCUCUCUCUAGAAGACAAGAAGAGGAAGAAGAAAGGAAGGAAAAAGAAAGAGAAAGAGCGGGCUUUGGCAGCCCUCAUGACCUUCAUAAAGUUUGAUCCACCUACCUUCGAUGGAGAGAAUGUCGAUUCGUGGAUUGUGGAUACGUGGAUUGACUCCGUGGAAACGCUCUUCGAGGAGCUGUCUACCUUGGAGCGGGACAAGGUACCCCUAGCCGUGUAUUGUUUGAAACAGUCGGCUAAGGCGUGGUGGAAAGGCAUUCGACGGAACCGAUCGCCUAGUAUUCCUCCAUGGCAUGGGAUGAGUUUUGGGGAUUGGUAUCUUCUACUUACUUCCCCCGACAGUGAAAAGAGAAAGCUUCAGGACAAGUUCAGGAAGCUGCGGCAAGGAGACCGCUCAGUUAGAGAAUACGAACGGGAAUUCUCCCUAUCAUGAACUGUAUCCGAGAUAUGGAGCCUGCUGCUGACGACGUCAUGGCGGGUAUGAGCUGUUAAUGCAGUUAUGUGUUUCUGCAUAAUGUAGAGUUGGUGCAUUGCAUGCAUUGAGCAUGUAAUUAAUUACUACUAUUUAUGUAGUAGCAUAGUAGGGUCCAAGUGAGCGGGUAAAUGUAAACACCCGGGCACGCUUAUGUGGUGAAAGCGUUGCACCUGCCGGUGCAGGUAGAGAACUGGAUGGUACUAGCGAGUUGCUAGUGGUGGUCUAAUGAUGAGACUUGUAGUAGAGGUGGAAAUGACGAACCAACUCGCAGAGCAAUCUAUGUAAUUGAUUGCGAGAGUUGUGUCAUGACACUUGUGGACACUCGAAUGGUUUGAGUGUUCUAGAUGUUGCUCCGGUAGAGCGAUUGGCUGCCAAAUACGGGCGCGUUGGCCUAGUAGUACCUCGAAUUGAGGUGGGUGAGUCGUGCUCGUGUGGCCGGUGUGCAUAGGCAAGAGUUGCCUAAUGCUGGACAUAGUGUGGAGCGCUUUAGAGGCGUGCGAUACACGAGUAUAGUUACUCGUGGAGUGCGGAUUUAGUUCAGCCGGAUGAGUGUGUUGGCAGUAGCACCUGAGCAUUGCUAGGUGUGAAGCGUGCCACGGAUCACUCGUGGGGCUGGUGGCUCGCACUAGGUGCAUAGGAGCCGAUAGUGGUACGUAUUGUGCUAUAGAGCGUGUAGUGCGAUUGAUAGUAUACUGAGAGUGCGAGUGUGACCCAACCCGGGAAUCUGUAACGGUUUGGGAUCUUAGUUGCUCCUGGUUGGAGUGUGUGCGAAUUCCCAAGUGAGAAUUUCGCCCCAAUGAUGAUUGGGUCUGCAUUGCGAGCGAGAGACGCUGCGUAUUGAGAAAGGUUUAGGUGGUAGGCCUACAUAGUAUUGGUGGCCUUUGGACCACCAGUGGAAACCGAGGAAAGCGAUUUGGCGGAUAGACUUAUCGAGAGGUUUGACUCGAAUUCACGAACAAAGUGUUCUUGUGAGCUCUUUGCAGAAAUGGUUUGACGUUGACCAUGGCAUAUGGUAUUGAAAAAUGAAGUGCUCUUGGAGAGACCUUGAGCUUAUGGCAAGCCACGUGGAAUUUGAGAACUGGAAGUGGGGAUGUGCCGAAGUGGGCCAUCUCACUUAGAGCAAAAAGUCGGGGCGGAAUUAGAGCACUCGCGGUGAAGCGAUGCACUAGUGAUGUUGCUUUUAAGCAAUGUUGGAGAUAGAAUCGGAGUGUAUUCCCUGAGGGGAAAGUAAAUGCGAAGAAGAGUUCUUGUAUGCCAAAUGACAAGUGGUAUUGGACCGCGUGAAGUCGUUGAGUUUCGACUUGCGCCGCCACCAAGAGUGAUGGAUACCCUAAUGCACUUUGUGAGAUGCGCCUUGCAAAUUUGGAUGCAUUUAGUAUCAUGAACUCCGUGGUAGUCCUCUUGGAUAGUUCCAAGGAGUGUGAAGCCAUUCCGAAGUGGAAAGCGUAUUGGUGCUCUCAAUUACUCGAGGAGCUGAAUCGAGUUGUGGUUUGAAUUUCGCGGACGAAAUUCUUUUAAGGGGUGGAGAAUGUAAUAUACCGAACUUCUAAAUUCACGAAGUUACGAUGUAAGUUAGCUUAGAAAGCCAUUGGAAUCGUCCCGGCGAAGUUCGGGAGCAUUCGGGUGCUUCGGUGCGCAUAGGGCGCGAAAACGGAGCCGAAAGGCUAUGUUGGACCGUGAGUUAAAUCCGGCAUUAGCGUGGAUGAAAAGAUGAUGAAAACAUGUUCGAAAACAUAUUUGGAGAGUCUCGGUUCGAUUUGAAAUGAAUCAGAGGUCAAACGAGCGAAAACGAGCGAAAACGGAGCUAAAAUGGUGAAAAAGCUGAAAAUUUGGCUAAGUCCUUGAAGGCUGAUUUCUGGACCUUCGGGGACCGGUCUCUCAGUCAAGGACCGGUCUCUCAGGGACCGGUCUCUCAUCGCAAGGACCGGUCCCCGAAGCCCGAAAAUGCCCAGUUCGGGCUGUUGUGAGAAAUGCAUUGUUGAGGGUGUUUUCAGCAAUUUUGCACUAAUAGAGGCUAUUAGAUGGUGGAAUGAGAUCUUUCUCUCAUUUCUCUCACUCUCCCACACCAAAACCUCUCCCUCUCUCUCUCUAGAAAGAAAAGAAGGAGAAGAAGAGGGGAAAGAAAGGGAAGAAGAAGAUGAAGGAGAAGAGGCCAAGAAGAUAGAGUUUCAUCUUCAUCUCCUUCCUUGAGCCAUAGGAGCAAGCUUAGAGAGGUAAGCCUUAUGCUCUCUAAUGGUAGACUUCUAGAACUUGGUUUAUAUGUUCUAGAAUUGGAUUUUAUGUACUCCUAGCAUGUCAAAUAGAUGAUAAAUGCUUGGAUCAUGAGAUGAAAUGGUAGAUUUUGCAAUAGUUGCAUAUUAGGGCUCCAAAAAGGGGGUUUUUGUAGAUAGUUGAGUUUGAUCUCAAUUGACCCUCUAUAAACCUAAUUGGGGGUAUAACGAACGCGUUGGUGCGCUCGGUUCGACAAUCCGACGAGUGUACGCAAAGUUAUUGACGAAACAAUCUGUUUUGGUACAGAUAACUGCAGCACGCGGGAUAAGCCUCCAAAAAUCAUGAGAAUGGAUCGGGAGCAUCGUGGUGUCGGGGAAUAAACUCCCGAACAGACGGAUCGCGAAUUGGUGGCCGUUCGGGUGGUCGCACAAGAGUUCGGGCCAGACCGGGUUACGGAUGCCGCGGGAGGCCGAUUGCAAGUGUCGACAAGCAAUCGGAAAGCGUUUUGAGGUGGGUUGUGCUCACCGAAGCGAUUAGGUCGCUUUCCAUGCCAAAGUGUAGUAUGUUUACUAUUGAUGCAUGAUAAAGUAUGCUAUUUGAGAAUGCAUGAUAAAGUAUGCUAUUUAAGAAUGCAUGAUAAAGAUAGAUGCCAAAUGAAUGCAUGAGUUGAUGUUAAUUUACAUGUGCAUAUUAUAGAAAUGCUAAAUAGAUGUCAAAUGAAAGUAUGAGAUUUAUACUAACCGAGAAUGCAUGUAGUAAAUGUUAACGAAUGCAUAAAAUGCUAAGUAAUGACUACCAAUGGAUGACAAAAUAUAUGCAUGUUGAACAUAGAUCGAGUGGCAUUUGGAAAUGGUAAAGUGGACACUAGAGUUAGUGUGGGACAUCAAAGAAUAAAUGUGAUGUAAAGAAUAAUGAUAAUGGCUAAAGAUAAUGUAAAACAAUGUGAUGAUAAUAAUGUAAUGUUGCAUGAUGUGAGUACACGUGCUUAUUAGAAUGACUAAGAAUCUAAAUAAUCUAUAUGUAUGCAUGAGAUGUAAUGUGAGAACCUAAUGAUAAUGGCUUGAGACAAGGCAAAGCAAUGUGAUGUAAAGAAUAAUGAUAAUGGCUAGAGGCGAUGUAAAGUAAUGUGGCAUAAAGAACAAGCAAAGUGUAAAGAACAAUGAUAAUGGCUAGAGUUAGCAACCAAUGUGACAUAAAGAACACUAGAGUUAGUGUGUGGCAAUAAAAGAACAAGUGUGAUAUCAAGAAUGACAAUUACUAAAGUAAUUGAUAAUUGUGGUAUAAAGAAUAAUGAUUGCUAGAGUUAGCAACUAAUGUGAUGUAAAGAACACUAGAGUUAGUGUAAAACCAUGAUCCAACUACAUAUCCUUAGAGUUAAGGAUUGAUCAUACUUGCUAUGAGUUCCGUGCUCGAGGGCGGUCGCUCCCCCUCGGGCGAUGCGCUCCGGAGUUUGGCAUCCGGGUUGGAGUAGACCCGUAAGGACGGUCCUAGCUGGUGAGUUCCUGUGAUGAUGGACUUAAUGUGAAGCAAGUUAAUGUGGCGAAACCCCCGGGUUAGCCGUGAGAUUAAAGAACAAAGAACAAAAAAGGAAUCAUGAAUUGGAAAGUGGAUCUUAUAUUCAUUAUAAAUUGACUCAAGACCGAGUCGAGUGGCAUAGUUGGCCAGGGUAAAGGUAACCCUGUGAAAGAAUGACAAUUGAGAAAGAAUGACAAUUGAGAAACGUUUGUUAAUGUUAUAAAGAAUGGCAAAUGUGUAUAAUGCGCCUAAGGUGCGAGUGCCCUUAGCAAAGAAUAAAGAAUAAAGAAUAAAGAAUAAAGAAUAGAGAAUGGCUAAUGAUAAAGAAUUGCAUAUUCUAAAGAAAGGCUAAUGGUAAAGAAUGACUAAGAGUUGCAUAAUUUGCAUAUUUGUGAGGCAUGAACAUGUAUUGCAUGAUGUUAUAUGUAUAUAUCUGUUGGACUAACAUGUUGCUGUGCCUCCUUUGGACCUGGUGGGUUGAGCUCUUCCCUUGGGUGGCUGUACCCACUGACGACUAUGGACAAUAGUCUCACCCCCGUGUUGUUGUUUUUGGGGGUACAGGUUCACACGCGAGCGGCGCGGCGGCGCGAGGAAAGGGCGUAGCUCCGUAGUUAGCGCCCUACCACAGAGACCAGAUAGCAGCACCCUGAGUCGGCUUCUUAGGGGUAUAAGAAAAGAAAAGAAAAGAAUCGAUGUUGUAAUAUUAUGUUUGGAAAUCGAUUGUAUAUUUUGAAGUUGAUGAUCAAUGUAAUGAAAAAUGCGAUGUAAAAUGAUGAGAUGAAUGAUUGUAAUAACAUAGGAUGUGUUAUGUUGUUUGAUACCUUCCUUAUGCAAUCGUUGUUGAAAAAUUGUUCCUGUUUGGAACCUCUUGUACUUGGAUUGAUUGCGACGCCUUGAACGUACAGGGGAGACUCUGUCCGCGUGCAGGGAAAACCCUGU
This 30068-nucleotide long non-coding RNA is filed under the name Ananas comosus (pineapple). RNAcentral's name for it is "long non-coding RNA (ACOM_LNC009016)". The record is from RNAcentral. Lineage: Eukaryota; Viridiplantae; Streptophyta; Magnoliopsida; Poales; Bromeliaceae.